Molecule: ribosomal RNA, 380 nt
Filed under: uncultured eukaryote
Lineage: Eukaryota
Description: partial 18S ribosomal RNA
Rfam family: Eukaryotic small subunit ribosomal RNA
Source: RNAcentral
CAAUAGCGUAUAUUAAAGUUGUUGCAGUUAGAACGCUCGUAGUCGGAUUUCGGGGCGGGCCGACCGGUCUGCCGAUGGGUAUGCACUGGUCGGCGCGUCCUUCCUUCCGGAGACCGUCCCUACUCUUAACCGAGCGGGGGCGGGAGACGGGACUUUUACUUUGAAAAAAUCAGAGUGUUUCAAGCAGGCAGCUCGCUCUUGCAUGGAUUAGCAUGGGAUAAUGAAAUAGGACUUUGGUGCUAUUUUGUUGGUUUCGAACACCGAAGUAAUGAUGAGAAGGGACAGUCAGGGGCACUCGUAUUCCGCCGAGAGAGGUGAAAUUCUCAGACCAGCGGAAGACGAACCACUGCGAAAGCAUUUGCCAGGGAUGUUUUCACUGA